Sebastes umbrosus (honeycomb rockfish) is the source of this 425-nucleotide long non-coding RNA. RefSeq lists it as uncharacterized. The transcript has 3 exons. The record is from RefSeq and is a predicted model, not a curated record. NCBI's taxonomy places the organism in Eukaryota, Metazoa, Chordata, Actinopteri, Perciformes, Sebastidae.
CAUGUAAAUUCCCUGUAAAACAAUAAUUAGUCUUUCUUACUGUGUUCGCAUCAAUUUGCGCUGAUUUUAUGUGUCCAGAGAUGAGAGGAAAAAGGACAGUGAGUGGAUGGAAAUAACUGGAAACAGCUAGUCUAUGAUUAUAAUGAACAAGAAGACUAUGGUGAGGACGAUGGUGCUGAUCAGUGGGUCCGGCACACCAGCUUUGUACUUGAGCACGACGCCAAGACCCACCACAGCGUUCAAGAGAGUCCACCAGGCGAACACCGUCAAGCCGUUCUGGGCUAUUUCCACUGGUGACAUACUGGGUUCACUGGGACUGUAAAGUGGCCGUUUGUGAUGCUUCCAUGUGACCAGGGCGAUGCGUGCCACGAACAUGACGCAGGAAAUAGCCAGGAUCGAAGCUGAAGAGGGAAAAGGAGAUUAGA